AACGCACAUUGCGCCCCCUGGCAUUCCGGGGGGCAUGCCUGUCCGAGCGUCAUUUCUACCCUCAAGCGCGGCUUGUGUGUUGGGUGUGGUCCCCCCUCGCGUUGGGGGGACCUGCCCGAAAGGCAGCGGCGACGCCCCGCCCCGGUCCUCGAGCGUAUGGGGCUUUGUCACCUGCUCGGGAGGGACCCGCGGGCGUUGGCCAUCCACUAUUCUUUAACGGUUGACCUCGGAUCAGGUAGGAGUUACCCGCUGAACUUAA
This 259-nucleotide unclassified non-coding RNA is filed under the name uncultured fungus. Its description in RNAcentral is "partial contains 5.8S ribosomal RNA, internal transcribed spacer 2, and large subunit ribosomal RNA". Lineage: Eukaryota; Fungi. The record is from RNAcentral.